Molecule: ribosomal RNA, 216 nt
Filed under: Glomeromycotina sp.
Lineage: Eukaryota; Fungi; Glomeromycota
Description: partial small subunit ribosomal RNA
Rfam family: Eukaryotic small subunit ribosomal RNA (bases 40-216)
Source: RNAcentral
GGGUCAGUAGGUUGGUCGUGCCACCGGUACGUACUGGUCUCACUGAUUCCUCCUUCCUGAAGAACCGUUAUGCCAUUAAUUAGGUGUUGCGGGGAAACAGGACUGUUACUUUGAAAAAAUUAGAGUGUUUAAAGCAAGCUAACGCUUGAAUACAUUAGCAUGGAAUAAUGAAAUAGGACGAUCGAUCCUCUUUUGUUGGUUUCUAGGAUUGACGUA